This 253-nucleotide ribosomal RNA is filed under the name uncultured bacterium. Its description in RNAcentral is "partial 16S ribosomal RNA". It matches the Rfam family "Bacterial small subunit ribosomal RNA", at positions 524 to 776 of the family's 1533-position model. The record is from RNAcentral.
UACGUAGGGGGCGAGCGUUGUCCGGAUUUAUUGGGCGUAAAGAGCGUGUAGGCGGCCAGGUAGGUCUGCUGUGAAAACUCGAGGCUCAACCUCGAGACGUCGGCGGAAACCAUCUGGCUAGAGUCCGGAAGAGGAGAGUGGAAUUCCUGGUGGAGCGGUGAAAUGCGUUGAUAUCAUCAGGAACACCAGUGGCGAAGGCGACCCACUGGGUCAUUUCUGACGCUGAGGUACGAAAGCUAGGGUAGCGAACGGG